UACGAAGGGGGCUAGCGUUGCUCGGAAUCACUGGGCGUAAAGGGCGCGUAGGCGGCCGUUCAAGUCGGGGGUGAAAGCCUGUGGCUCAACCACAGAAUGGCCCUCGAUACUGGAUGGCUCGAGACCGGAAGAGGUUGGUGGAGCUGCGAGUGUAGAGGUGAAAUUCGUAGAUAUUCGCAAGAACACCAGUGGCGAAGGCGGCCAACUGGUCCGGUUCUGACGCUGAGGCGCGAAAGCGUGGGGAGCAAACAGG
This 253-nucleotide ribosomal RNA is filed under the name uncultured bacterium. RNAcentral describes it as "partial 16S ribosomal RNA". It matches the Rfam family "Bacterial small subunit ribosomal RNA", at positions 524 to 776 of the family's 1533-position model. The record is from RNAcentral.